Molecule: long non-coding RNA, 615 nt
Filed under: Homo sapiens (human)
Lineage: Eukaryota; Metazoa; Chordata; Mammalia; Primates; Hominidae
Description: non-protein coding lnc-ZSWIM2-7:4
Source: RNAcentral
UGCAGGGUUGCCUAGAAGCCGAUGAUCACUGUAAAGUUCCCCAAUGAAUUAAGUUUGGGCCAGGAGAUACUAAAGGAUACAAAAAUGGCAGACUCACUGCUGUUCUGGAGGUUGUGAAAAAUCUUUUUAAAAAUUAUCAUGAAGAAAAUUCAGGUCUCCAAAUGUACCUCUACUCGAUUAACUAAGGAAAAGCUGUUUGUAAUCUAGGGACCGCAAUAGCUGUCACAAUUAAUACUGAGUAUGUGCUGUUCUAUCAUUUUUGGCAAGGAUUGGUGUUUCAUCAUUUAGACACAUCAGGUACUUACAUUGCAGUGUCAUAUAAUUUAAAUUGGCAUUGUUUAAAAUGAUGAAAAAAUAACAAAGUACCAAUCAGAAACUAAAUUUUAGUACAGUGGGAAGGAUUCAUCCAUUGAAUUGGAUUGAUAGAAGAUGAGACAGCAAUUUAAUAGAGUUUUGUUCAUCUUUUCCUUUCUUGGUUGACUAACACUGACAUUUUUGAGGUCUUUUAUUUCUACAGAACGUUCUCUGCAGUCUCCUCUUCAAAUACGGCUCUUGGCUAUGCUUGUGAAUUUUGUGAAUAUACAAUUAUUUCAAAUUAAAUACUAACUGAAUGUG